RNAcentral lists this transfer RNA (67 nucleotides) under Pachyneuron aphidis. RNAcentral's name for it is "tRNA-His". Lineage: Eukaryota; Metazoa; Arthropoda; Insecta; Hymenoptera; Pteromalidae. The record is from RNAcentral.
AUUUAAAUAAUUUAAAAUAAAAUAUUGAUUUGUGGAAUCAAAAAUAUUAACUUAUUAAUUUUAAAUA